This 292-nucleotide ribosomal RNA is filed under the name uncultured Acidobacteriota bacterium. RNAcentral's name for it is "uncultured Acidobacteria bacterium partial 16S ribosomal RNA". Lineage: Bacteria; Pseudomonadati; Acidobacteriota. The record is from RNAcentral.
GGACUACUGGGGUAUCUAAUCCCGUUUGCUCCCCUAGCUUUCGCGCCUCAGCGUCAGUGUCGGUCCAGGAAGCCGCCUUCGCCACCGGUGUUCCUCCGGAUAUCUACGCAUUUCACCGCUACACCCGGAAUUCCGCUUCCCUCUCCCGAACUCAAGCCAAGCAGUCUCCCGCGCCAUUCCCCAGUUGAGCCGGGGGAUUUCACGCGGGACUUACAAGACCGCCUACGCGCCCUUUACGCCCAGUAAUUCCGAACAACGCUUGCCACCUCUGUAUUACCGCGGCUGCUGGCAC